UACGGGAGGCAGCAGUGGGGAAUAUUGCACAAUGGGCGAAAGCCUGAUGCAGCUAUGCCGCGUGUAUGAAGAAGGCCUUAGGGUUGUAAAGUACUUUCAUCGGGGAGGAAAAAACAAAACUAAUAAUUUUAUUUCUUGACGUUACCCGAAAAAGAAGCACCGGCUAACUCCGUGCCAGCAGCCGCGGUAAUACGGAGGGUGCUAGCGUUAAUCAGAAUUACUGGGCGUAAAGAGCACGUAGGUGGUUUUUUUAAAGUCAGAUGUGAAAUCCCUGGGCUUAACCUAGGAACUGCAUUUUGAAACUGAAAUACUAGAGUAUCGUAGAGGGAGGUAGAAUUCUAGGUGUAGCGGUGAAAUGCGUAGAUAUCUGGAGGAAUACCUGUGGCGAAAGCGGCCUCCUAAACGAAUACUGACACUGAGGUGCGAAAGCGUGGGGAGCAAACAGGGAUUAGGAUACC
RNAcentral lists this ribosomal RNA (458 nucleotides) under uncultured bacterium. RNAcentral's name for it is "bacterial SSU rRNA". It matches the Rfam family "Bacterial small subunit ribosomal RNA", at positions 340 to 786 of the family's 1533-position model. The record is from RNAcentral.